GGCUGCAGUCGAGAAUCUUCGGCAAUGGGCGCAAGCCUGACCGAGCGACGCCGCGUGGAGGAUGAAGGCCUUCGGGUUGUAAACUCCUGUCGAGGGGGAGGAAGGGGAAACCUUGACCGAUCCCUGGAGGAAGCACGGGCUAAGUUCGUGCCAGCAGCCGCGGUAAGACGAACCGUGCGAGCGUUAUUCGGAAUCACUGGGCUUAAAGCGCGUGUAGGCGGAUGGGAACGUCGGAUACUGAAAGCCCCCGGCUCAACCGGGGAAGUGGUUCCGAAACGACCUGUCUGGAGGGACGUAGGGGGAUCUGGAACUUCCGGUGGAGCGGUGAAAUGCGUUGAGAUCGGAAGGAACGCCCGUGGCGAAAGCGAGGUCCUGGACGUCUGCUGACGCUGAGACGCGAAAGCUAGGGGAGCAAACGGGAUUAGAUACCCCGGUAGUCCUAGCCGUAAACGAUGGGCACUGGGUAGGGGGCUCGCCGAUGGGCUCUCUGCCGUAGCGAAAGCGUGAAGUGCCCCGCCUGGGGAGUAUGGUCGCAAGGCUGAAACUCAAAGGAAUUGACGGGGGCUCACACA
This 572-nucleotide ribosomal RNA is filed under the name uncultured Planctomycetota bacterium. RNAcentral's name for it is "bacterial SSU rRNA". It matches the Rfam family "Bacterial small subunit ribosomal RNA", at positions 347 to 927 of the family's 1533-position model. Lineage: Bacteria; Pseudomonadati; Planctomycetota. The record is from RNAcentral.